GGCCAGCAGCCGCGGUAAUACGUAGGGGGCAAGCGUUGUCCGGAAUUACUGGGCGUAAAGAGCGCGUAGGUGGUUAAGUAAGUCAGGUGUGAAAGGCCAGGGCUCAACCCUGGGACUGCACUUGAAACUGCUUAACUUGAGGGCAGGAGAGGUAAGUGGAAUUCCUGGUGUAGCGGUGAAAUGCGUAGAUAUCAGGAGGAACACCAGUGGCGAAAGCGACUUACUGGCCUGGCUCUGACACUGAGGCGCGAAAGCGUGGGGAGCAAACAGGAUUAGAUACCCUGGUAGUCCACGCCGUAAACGAUGGGUACUAGGUGUAGGAGGUAUCGACCCCUUCUGUGCCGCAGCAAACGCAUUAAGUACCCCGCCUGGGGACUACGGCCGCAAGGUUGAAACUCAAAGGAAUUGACGGGGGCCCGCACAAGU
RNAcentral lists this ribosomal RNA (426 nucleotides) under uncultured bacterium. RNAcentral describes it as "bacterial SSU rRNA". It matches the Rfam family "Bacterial small subunit ribosomal RNA", at positions 506 to 930 of the family's 1533-position model. The record is from RNAcentral.